RNAcentral lists this ribosomal RNA (2903 nucleotides) under Escherichia coli DEC10F. RNAcentral describes it as "bacterial LSU rRNA". It matches the Rfam family "Bacterial large subunit ribosomal RNA". Lineage: Bacteria; Pseudomonadati; Pseudomonadota; Gammaproteobacteria; Enterobacterales; Enterobacteriaceae. The record is from RNAcentral.
UAAGCGACUAAGCGUACACGGUGGAUGCCCUGGCAGUCAGAGGCGAUGAAGGACGUGCUAAUCUGCGAUAAGCGUCGGUAAGGUGAUAUGAACCGUUAUAACCGGCGAUUUCCGAAUGGGGAAACCCAGUGUGAUUCGUCACACUAUCAUUAACUGAAUCCAUAGGUUAAUGAGGCGGAACCGGGGGAACUGAAACAUCUAAGUACCCCGAGGAAAAGAAAUCAACCGAGAUUCCCCCAGUAGCGGCGAGCGAACGGGGAGCAGCCCAGAGCCUGAAUCAGUGUGUGUGUUAGUGGAAGCGUCUGGAAAGGCGCGCGAUACAGGGUGACAGCCCCGUACACAAAAAUGCACAUGCUGUGAGCUCGAUGAGUAGGGCGGGACACGUGGUAUCCUGUCUGAAUAUGGGGGGACCAUCCUCCAAGGCUAAAUACUCCUGACUGACCGAUAGUGAACCAGUACCGUGAGGGAAAGGCGAAAAGAACCCCGGCGAGGGGAGUGAAAAAGAACCUGAAACCGUGUACGUACAAGCAGUGGGAGCACAGAGCAAUCUGUGUGACUGCGUACCUUUGUAUAAUGGGUCAGCGACUUAUAUUCUGUAGCAAGGUUAACCGAAUAGGGGAGCCGAAGGGAAACCGAGUCUUAACUGGGCGUUAAGUUGCAGGGUAUAGACCCGAAACCCGGUGAUCUAGCCAUGGGCAGGUUGAAGGUUGGGUAACACUAACUGGAGGACCGAACCGACUAAUGUUAGAAAAAUUAGCGGAUGACUUGUGGCUGGGGGUGAAAGGCCAAUCAAACCGGGAGAUAGCUGGUUCUCCCCGAAAGCUAUUUAGGUAGCGCCUCGUGAAUUCAUCUCCGGGGGUAGAGCACUGUUUUGGCAAGGGGGUCAUCCCGACUUACCAACCCGAUGCAAACUGCGAAUACCGGAGAAUGUCAUCACGGGAGACACACGGCGGGUGCUAACGUCCGUCGUGAAGAGGGAAACAACCCAGACCGCCAGCUAAGGUCCCAAAGUCAUGGUUAAGUGGGAAACGAUGUGGGAAGGCCCAGACAGCCAGGAUGUUGGCUUAGAAGCAGCCAUCAUUUAAAGAAAGCGUAAUAGCUCACUGGUCGAGUCGGCCUGCGCGGAAGAUGUAACGGGGCUAAACCAUGCACCGAAGCUGCGGCAGCGACGCUGAUGCGUUGUUGGGUAGGGGAGCGUUCUGUAAGCCUGUGAAGGUGUGCUGUGAGGCAUGCUGGAGGUAUCAGAAGUGCGAAUGCUGACAUAAGUAACGAUAAAGCGGGUGAAAAGCCCGCUCGCCGGAAGACCAAGGGUUCCUGUCCAACGUUAAUCGGGGCAGGGUGAGUCGACCCCUAAGGCGAGGCCGAAAGGCGUAGUCGAUGGGAAACAGGUUAAUAUUCCUGUACUUGGUGUUACUGCGAAGGGGGGACGGAGAAGGCUAUGUUGGCCGGGCGACGGUUGUCCCGGUUUAAGCGUGUAGGCUGGUUUUCCAGGCAAAUCCGGAAAACUAAGGCUGAGGCGUGAUGACGAGGCACUACGGUGCUGAAGCAACAAAUGCCCUGCUUCCAGGAAAAGCCUCUAAGCAUCAGGUAACAUCAAAUCGUACCCCAAACCGACACAGGUGGUCAGGUAGAGAAUACCAAGGCGCUUGAGAGAACUCGGGUGAAGGAACUAGGCAAAAUGGUGCCGUAACUUCGGGAGAAGGCACGCUGAUAUGUAGGUGAAGUCCCUCGCGGAUGGAGCUGAAAUCAGUCGAAGAUACCAGCUGGCUGCAACUGUUUAUUAAAAACACAGCACUGUGCAAACACGAAAGUGGACGUAUACGGUGUGACGCCUGCCCGGUGCCGGAAGGUUAAUUGAUGGGGUCAGCGCAAGCGAAGCUCUUGAUCGAAGCCCCGGUAAACGGCGGCCGUAACUAUAACGGUCCUAAGGUAGCGAAAUUCCUUGUCGGGUAAGUUCCGACCUGCACGAAUGGCGUAAUGAUGGCCAGGCUGUCUCCACCCGAGACUCAGUGAAAUUGAACUCGCUGUGAAGAUGCAGUGUACCCGCGGCAAGACGGAAAGACCCCGUGAACCUUUACUAUAGCUUGACACUGAACAUUGAGCCUUGAUGUGUAGGAUAGGUGGGAGGCUUUGAAGUGUGGACGCCAGUCUGCAUGGAGCCGACCUUGAAAUACCACCCUUUAAUGUUUGAUGUUCUAACGUUGACCCGUGAUCCGGGUUGCGGACAGUGUCUGGUGGGUAGUUUGACUGGGGCGGUCUCCUCCUAAAGAGUAACGGAGGAGCACGAAGGUUGGCUAAUCCUGGUCGGACAUCAGGAGGUUAGUGCAAUGGCAUAAGCCAGCUUGACUGCGAGCGUGACGGCGCGAGCAGGUGCGAAAGCAGGUCAUAGUGAUCCGGUGGUUCUGAAUGGAAGGGCCAUCGCUCAACGGAUAAAAGGUACUCCGGGGAUAACAGGCUGAUACCGCCCAAGAGUUCAUAUCGACGGCGGUGUUUGGCACCUCGAUGUCGGCUCAUCACAUCCUGGGGCUGAAGUAGGUCCCAAGGGUAUGGCUGUUCGCCAUUUAAAGUGGUACGCGAGCUGGGUUUAGAACGUCGUGAGACAGUUCGGUCCCUAUCUGCCGUGGGCGCUGGAGAACUGAGGGGGGCUGCUCCUAGUACGAGAGGACCGGAGUGGACGCAUCACUGGUGUUCGGGUUGUCAUGCCAAUGGCACUGCCCGGUAGCUAAAUGCGGAAGAGAUAAGUGCUGAAAGCAUCUAAGCACGAAACUUGCCCCGAGAUGAGUUCUCCCUGACUCCUUGAGAGUCCUGAAGGAACGUUGAAGACGACGACGUUGAUAGGCCGGGUGUGUAAGCGCAGCGAUGCGUUGAGCUAACCGGUACUAAUGAACCGUGAGGCUUAACCU